CAUAGGUUAAUGAGGCGAACCGGGGGAACUGAAACAUCUAAGUACCCCGAGGAAAAGAAAUCAACCGAGAUUCCCCCAGUAGCGGCGAGCGAACGGGGAGGAGCCCAGAGCCUGAAUCAGUGUGUGUGUUAGUGGAAGCGUCUGGAAAGGCGCGCGAUACAGGGUGACAGCCCCGUACACAAAAAUGCACAUACUGUGAGCUCGAUGAGUAGGGCGGGACACGUGGUAUCCUGUCUGAAUAUGGGGGGACCAUCCUCCAAGGCUAAAUACUCCUGACUGACCGAUAGUGAACCAGUACCGUGAGGGAAAGGCGAAAAGAACCCCGGCGAGGGGAGUGAAAAAGAACCUGAAACCGUGUACGUACAAGCAGUGGGAGCCUCUUAAUGGGGUGACUGCGUACCUUUUGUAUAAUGGGUCAGCGACUUAUAUUCUGUAGCAAGGUUAACCGAAUAGGGGAGCCGAAGGGAAACCGAGUCUUAACUGGGCGUUAAGUUGCAGGGUAUAGACCCGAAACCCGGUGAUCUAGCCAUGGGCAGGUUGAAGGUUGGGUAACACUAACUGGAGGACCGAACCGACUAAUGUUGAAAAAUUAGCGGAUGACUUGUGGCUGGGGGUGAAAGGCCAAUCAAACCGGGAGAUAGCUGGUUCUCCCCGAAAGCUAUUUAGGUAGCGCCUCGUGAAUUCAUCUCCGGGGGUAGAGCACUGUUUCGGCAAGGGGGUCAUCCCGACUUACCAACCCGAUGCAAACUGCGAAUACCGGAGAAUGUUAUCACGGGAGACACACGGCGGGUGCUAACGUCCGUCGUGAAGAGGGAAACAACCCAGACCGCCAGCUAAGGUCCCAAAGUCAUGGUUAAGUGGGAAACGAUGUGGGAAGGCCCAGACAGCCAGGAUGUUGGCUUAGAAGCAGCCAUCAUUUAAAGAAAGCGUAAUAGCUCACUGGUCGAGUCGGCCUGCGCGGAAGAUGUAACGGGGCUAAACCAUGCACCGAAGCUGCGGCAGCGACACUAUGUGUUGUUGGGUAGGGGAGCGUUCUGUAAGCCUGUGAAGGUGUACUGUGAGGUAUGCUGGAGGUAUCAGAAGUGCGAAUGCUGACAUAAGUAACGAUAAAGCGGGUGAAAAGCCCGCUCGCCGGAAGACCAAGGGUUCCUGUCCAACGUUAAUCGGGGCAGGGUGAGUCGACCCCUAAGGCGAGGCCGAAAGGCGUAGUCGAUGGGAAACAGGUUAAUAUUCCUGUACUUGGUGUUACUGCGAAGGGGGGACGGAGAAGGCUAUGUUGGCCGGGCGACGGUUGUCCCGGUUUAAGCGUGUAGGCUGGUUUUCCAGGCAAAUCCGGAAAAUCAAGGCUGAGGCGUGAUGACGAGGCACUACGGUGCUGAAGCGACAAAUGCCCUGCUUCCAGGAAAAGCCUCUAAGCAUCAGGUAACAUCAAAUCGUACCCCAAACCGACACAGGUGGUCAGGUAGAGAAUACCAAGGCGCUUGAGAGAACUCGGGUGAAGGAACUAGGCAAAAUGGUGCCGUAACUUCGGGAGAAGGCACGCUGAUAUGUAGGUGAAGCGACUUGCUCGUGGAGCUGAAAUCAGUCGAAGAUACCAGCUGGCUGCAACUGUUUAUUAAAAACACAGCACUGUGCAAACACGAAAGUGGACGUAUACGGUGUGACGCCUGCCCGGUGCCGGAAGGUUAAUUGAUGGGGUUAGCGGUAACGCGAAGCUCUUGAUCGAAGCCCCGGUAAACGGCGGCCGUAACUAUAACGGUCCUAAGGUAGCGAAAUUCCUUGUCGGGUAAGUUCCGACCUGCACGAAUGGCGUAAUGAUGGCCAGGCUGUCUCCACCCGAGACUCAGUGAAAUUGAACUCGCUGUGAAGAUGCAGUGUACCCGCGGCAAGACGGAAAGACCCCGUGAACCUUUACUAUAGCUUGACACUGAACAUUGAGCCUUGAUGUGUAGGAUAGGUGGGAGGCUUUGAAGUGUGGACGCCAGUCUGCAUGGAGCCGACCUUGAAAUACCACCCUUUAAUGUUUGAUGUUCUAACGUGGGCCCCUUACCGGGGUUGCGGACAGUGUCUGGUGGGUAGUUUGACUGGGGCGGUCUCCUCCUAAAGAGUAACGGAGGAGCACGAAGGUUGGCUAAUCCUGGUCGGACAUCAGGAGGUUAGUGCAAUGGCAUAAGCCAGCUUGACUGCGAGCGUGACGGCGCGAGCAGGUGCGAAAGCAGGUCAUAGUGAUCCGGUGGUUCUGAAUGGAAGGGCCAUCGCUCAACGGAUAAAAGGUACUCCGGGGAUAACAGGCUGAUACCGCCCAAGAGUUCAUAUCGACGGCGGUGUUUGGCACCUCGAUGUCGGCUCAUCACAUCCUGGGGCUGAAGUAGGUCCCAAGGGUAUGGCUGUUCGCCAUUUAAAGUGGUACGCGAGCUGGGUUUAGAACGUCGUGAGACAGUUCGGUCCCUAUCUGCCGUGGGCGCUGGAGAACUGAGGGGGGCUGCUCCUAGUACGAGAGGACCGGAGUGGACGCAUCACUGGUGUUCGGGUUGUCAUGCCAAUGGCACUGCCCGGUAGCUAAAUGCGGAAGAGAUAAGUGCUGAAAGCAUCUAAGCACGAAACUUGC
This 2608-nucleotide ribosomal RNA is filed under the name Escherichia coli. RNAcentral describes it as "partial 23S ribosomal RNA". It matches the Rfam family "Bacterial large subunit ribosomal RNA". The record is from RNAcentral. Lineage: Bacteria; Pseudomonadati; Pseudomonadota; Gammaproteobacteria; Enterobacterales; Enterobacteriaceae.